GUGCUUGCUUCGGCAGCACAGACGCUAAAAUUGGAAUGAUACAGAGAUUAGCAUGGCCCCUGCCAAGGACGACACGCAAAUUCAUGAAGCAUUCCAUAUUUCU
Molecule: small nuclear RNA, 103 nt
Organism: Bison bison bison
Lineage: Eukaryota; Metazoa; Chordata; Mammalia; Artiodactyla; Bovidae
Source: Ensembl